AGGUUUCCAAGCAGAGGAAUAAUUAAUGCCACCACUUGAGGCCAUGUCAGAUUACUAUUUUUAGUUGCAUUUUC
Notechis scutatus (mainland tiger snake) is the source of this 74-nucleotide non-coding RNA. Lineage: Eukaryota; Metazoa; Chordata; Lepidosauria; Squamata; Elapidae. The record is from RefSeq and is a predicted model, not a curated record.